This 304-nucleotide signal recognition particle RNA is filed under the name Ipomoea nil (Japanese morning glory). Its description in RNAcentral is "Plant signal recognition particle RNA". It matches the Rfam family "Plant signal recognition particle RNA". The record is from Rfam by way of RNAcentral. Lineage: Eukaryota; Viridiplantae; Streptophyta; Magnoliopsida; Solanales; Convolvulaceae.
GCUGGGUUUGGUAACGCGAGCCUGUAACCCAAGUGGGAGCAAUAAGACGGUGGAACAAUUGGGCUUGCCCUGAAGGCUGGGCUCGGAGUGCAAUAUUCUGGCCUGCCCGUUCCAAGUGGUGAGUUGUUCGGUGGAGUCUCCGCGAAGGCGGAGGAUUCUCUGUCCUUAGAUCGGAGGGCACUGCGUGAGGCUGGCUUAACAGAGCAGCGAUAACCUCCUCCUCUCUGCAGUGGAAGGAUAACGAGCCGGUGCAUUCUUGGUCCACUAGAGCCUGAUGGGCUGUCCAAAUUGAACCACCAUCUUU